RNAcentral lists this long non-coding RNA (256 nucleotides) under Homo sapiens (human). RNAcentral describes it as "long non-coding RNA NONHSAT242667". Lineage: Eukaryota; Metazoa; Chordata; Mammalia; Primates; Hominidae. The record is from RNAcentral.
GCCGCCGCCGCAGCCUCCCCCUCGGCGCAGGGGGAACUUUUCUACUCUCUGUGACGGUCUCCCCCGCCGCCCCCGGGGGCAAGCCCAGCUGGUCCGCCCGCCCCGCCCGCGGUCGUGCUCCCAGCCCGAGCCUCUGCGCCUCGGGAAGUUUAUUCUGCCCGCCCUCCUCCCCUUCCUCCUCCUCUUCACCCCGCCUCCCCGCCCUCCCCCGGCUCUUUCCCCCGGGUGGCUGCCGCUGCCGCCGCUGCCGCUGCCA